This is a long non-coding RNA of Chinchilla lanigera (long-tailed chinchilla), 1035 nucleotides long. RefSeq lists it as uncharacterized. The transcript is spliced from 3 exons. The record is from RefSeq and is a predicted model, not a curated record. Lineage: Eukaryota; Metazoa; Chordata; Mammalia; Rodentia; Chinchillidae.
GGAAGCGCAGUCGUUAUGGAAGAGUUGACUUGGACGGCCAGCUGCCAGAGGCCGGGUCCGGCUCACCAGUGUGUCCUCAGCCCCGGCACAGCCUUGCACAUGUGUUUGUUGACUGACCACUGUAAAGCCUAAGUGCUGUUAAAAUGUAAGCAUCACCUGACCUCAGGUCCCGCCAGCUACUUCUGGGAGCAAAGUCAAAAUUGCAGCCACCCGAUUGCUCAAGAGACUUUAGGGAUUUGUGCUUUGCUGUAAAAUUUCGACAAAGAAAACACCUCUCAGCCGCCACGGGCGGUGGCGCAGCUUUGCCACACCUGAGUUGAGACCCCUGGGUGCGGCCUGGGCAGAAUGAACAUAGAAAAAAUGAAGUGAAGACACCAUUUGAUAAAUGGAGCUGAACACAUUCUACAUCUCAAUGUCAGCGUCUGACCACUACUGCUGGUGCUUAGCGCUGCUCAGCAUGGCUAUUUCUCCUCGGCAGAAGGCCGGUGAGGAAGUCUCCUUCUGAUGGAGUUACAAGUCUGGGCUGGAGAACUGUAAACAGAGCCCUGCUGCACACCCACGGGUGUGAAGCUCACCAGGGCGAAGCUCACCAGCCGGGCAUUUAUUUAUUCAGUCCUUCUGAAGCAGGGUCUCACUGUGCAGUCCAGGCUGGUCUUGAACUCACUGUGUAGCCCAGGCUGGCCUUGAGCUUGGAUCCACUGUGUCAGCCUCCUGAGUGCUGAGAUUACAGGCGUGUACCGCCAUACCUGGCUGAAGCUUCAUUUCUAAGUGUGAAAAAUGUGCGUGUGUGUGUGGUGAGAGGAAGCUGUUCUAGUGAAGCAGACGUGGGAUGCUGUGGAGUUGGAUCGGUUUUUUUGGGGGGAGGGCUGGUUUCCAGUACCGGGAAUUGAACUCGCGACCUUGCGCUUGCCAGGCAGGCGCUGUGCCGCUGAGCUAAAUCCCCAGCCUCUGUGGAGUUGGAUUGAAUGAGAUCUUUCCCCCAGACCUUCGCAUUUGCCUCUUCCCUACCCAGGCAUCCCUGCUGCAAGAGGCUUA